UGAGGAAUAUUGGUCAAUGGGCGCGAGCCUGAACCAGCCAAGUCGCGUGAGGGAUGACGGCCCUACGGGUUGUAAACCUCUUUGUCGGGGAGCAAAAUUCCGCCACGUGUGGCGGAGUCGAGAGUACCCGAAGAAAAAGCAUCGGCUAACUCCGUGCC
RNAcentral lists this ribosomal RNA (158 nucleotides) under uncultured bacterium. Its description in RNAcentral is "partial 16S ribosomal RNA". It matches the Rfam family "Bacterial small subunit ribosomal RNA", at positions 355 to 509 of the family's 1533-position model. The record is from RNAcentral.